RNAcentral lists this ribosomal RNA (280 nucleotides) under uncultured bacterium. RNAcentral's name for it is "partial 16S ribosomal RNA". It matches the Rfam family "Bacterial small subunit ribosomal RNA", at positions 62 to 339 of the family's 1533-position model. The record is from RNAcentral.
UUGCACAAGACUGAAUCUGGAUUCCCAUCUAGUGGCAGACGGGUGAGUAACACGUGGGUGACCUACCUUUUCGUUGGGGAUAACAGUUGGAAACGAUUGCUAAUACCGAAUAAAAUGUAAGAGUCAAUUUUACAUUGAAAGGAGCCUUUAAAGCUUCGCUUAGAGAUGGGCCUGCGGCGUAUUAGCUAGUUGGUGGGGUAAUGGCCUACCAAGGCGACGAUCAGUAGCCGGUCUGAGAGGAUGAACGGCCACACUGGAACUGAGACACGGUCCAGACUCC